GAUGAACGCUGGCGGUAUGCCUAACACAUGCAAGUCGUACGAGAGUUUUUAACUCAAGUGGCGGACGGGUGAGUAACACGUGAGAAUUUACCUUUAGGAGGGGGAUAACAGAGUGAAAACGCUGCUAAUACCCCAUAUGCUUUCGAGUGAAGUGGAUUUAUUCGCCUAAAGAGAAGCUCGCGGCUGAUUAGCUUGUUGGUAAGGUAAUGGCUUACCAAGGCGACGAUCAGUAUCUGGUUUGAGAGGACGAUCAGACACACUGGAACUGAGACACGGUCCAGACUCCUACGGGAGGCAGCAGUGGGGAAUUUUCCGCAAUGGACGAAAGCCUGACGGAGCAAUACCGCGUGAGGGAUGACGGCCUAUGGGUUGUAAACCUCUUUUAUCAAGGAAGAAGAUCUGACGGUACUUGAUGAAUAAGCCACGGCUAAUUCCGUG
Molecule: ribosomal RNA, 438 nt
Filed under: uncultured bacterium
Lineage: Bacteria
Description: bacterial SSU rRNA
Rfam family: Bacterial small subunit ribosomal RNA
Source: RNAcentral